Molecule: ribosomal RNA, 253 nt
Filed under: uncultured bacterium
Lineage: Bacteria
Description: partial 16S ribosomal RNA
Rfam family: Bacterial small subunit ribosomal RNA
Source: RNAcentral
UACGUAGGGUGCGAGCGUUGUCCGGAAUUAUUGGGCGUAAAGAGCUCGUAGGCGGUUUGUUGCGUUGGCUGUGAAAUCCCGAGGCUCAACCUCGGGUCUGCAGUCGAUACGAGCAAACUAGAGUGUUGCAGGGGAGACUGGAAUUCCUGGUGUAGCGGUGAAAUGCGCAGAUAUCAGGAGGAACACCGGUGGCGAAGGCGGGUCUCUGGGCAACAACUGACGCUGAGGAGCGAAAGCGUGGGGAGCGAACAGG